Molecule: transfer RNA, 68 nt
Filed under: Marmota monax (woodchuck)
Lineage: Eukaryota; Metazoa; Chordata; Mammalia; Rodentia; Sciuridae
Description: tRNA.Val
Source: RNAcentral
GGAUUGUGGCUCAGGGGUAGAGCGUUUGCCUCACGUGUGUGAGGUACUGGGUUUGAUCCUCAGCACCA